This 362-nucleotide unclassified non-coding RNA is filed under the name uncultured bacterium. RNAcentral's name for it is "contains 16S-23S intergenic spacer region". The record is from RNAcentral.
UCCCCGUUACCGGGGCAGUCUAGCUAGAGAAAUCCAACUAACUAUAGGGGUUGCGCUCGUUGAUGGACUUAACCAAACAUCUCACGACACGAGCUGACGACGGCCAUGCAUCACCUGUCACUGCGGCCCGAAGGCACUCUCUCCUUUCGGAGAAAUUGGCAGGAUGUCAAGCCUGGGUAAGGUUCUUCGCUUACCAUCGAAUUAAACAACACGCUCCACCGCUUGUGCGGGUCCCCGUCAAUUCCUUUAUGUUUUAGUCUUGCGACCGUACUCCACAGGCGGGAUGCUUAACGCGUUAGCUUCGCUACGACACGGGUCGAUACGCAUCACAGCUAGCAUCCAUCGUUUACGGCGUGGACUAC